GAUACUUAGAUAAAUCAGAUUUUAUUUUAGCAAUAUUUUUUAUUAUUCUCUGUACUUAAACUAAAAUUAUACUACAGACAAUUCCUCUCAUUUCUGAUAGACUCUGCCAAAAAUAAGUUACUGUUUUCUUAAACCAGAUAAGAAGAAAUUGGAGGAAGGAGUGAGUACUUCAGAUUCAUCUAAAGCAGCUCUACUAUGACAUCACAAUAGUCAGAAGCAGGAUGGGCAGGUCUCCAUUGAUCAAGUGAUCAUAUAGUAAACACCAGAAUCAGUCAUCCCAAAACUGAAUUUGCACUCCUCUGAAGAAUAUCAGUUCUUUUACAGAUUUUGACAUCUGCCUUCAGUUAAAUCUAGACAAAUAUGCGGGAGAAUCAGCAGGAGUCCAUUCUGGCUUCUAGAGAGUGCCCUGGAGCGGUCCACAGGAAGGUGCUGGAAAAGGCAGCCACAAAUAGUCCAGCAUCCAACCUAGUGUCAUGCACACAGUUGGGACUCAGCCACUGUUGCCUGAUUGAUAAUGAAGACAGUCACUGUGGUCAACCCAACAGUAAUUGAACGUUCAUUUUUAAUAAGAGAUGAGGAAACUGAAGCCUGAGAACAACAUGAAUUCUACAAUACAUUUACUGUCAGAAGGCAGCAGUGUCAACGGCCACGACGACACCUGGAACUGAUUCCAAGACUUGUGGUCGCCGUGGGAAUGCUAUUUAUUGUACAUAGUGACUCACAAAUCUGGGUUAUGUGAACUAUAAAAAGCCUGACUCAGAA
Molecule: long non-coding RNA, 762 nt
Organism: Gorilla gorilla gorilla (western lowland gorilla)
Lineage: Eukaryota; Metazoa; Chordata; Mammalia; Primates; Hominidae
Exons: 5
Source: RefSeq, a predicted model, not a curated record